Molecule: ribosomal RNA, 110 nt
Filed under: Pogona vitticeps (central bearded dragon)
Lineage: Eukaryota; Metazoa; Chordata; Lepidosauria; Squamata; Agamidae
Source: RNAcentral
AUGUGCAACGAUACGCCUGUAAACAUUGAUUUGAUUUUGGAAGCUAAGCAGGGCCGUGUCUGUUUAGUACUUGGAUUAGAGAACACAAGGUAAUAUUAGGGUUGCCUGAU